Molecule: unclassified non-coding RNA, 337 nt
Filed under: Hevea brasiliensis (rubber tree)
Lineage: Eukaryota; Viridiplantae; Streptophyta; Magnoliopsida; Malpighiales; Euphorbiaceae
Source: RNAcentral
GUCAAGCGUGCAGUGCUAUGGCUUGGAAGAGCUGGGAGGGAUGGUGUUUGGCAACGCUAGGGACCUAAUUCCAGCUGGUGAUAUUGGGCCUAGAGCUCCAUACCCAUAAGUUUUCUUCCUCCCAAACUUCCUGGUGCCAAGCUAAAAGGAUUUGUCAAAAGACUUUUUCCACCUUCUACGGGUUUGUAUCUUCUGUCUGAUUGGGGUCCCCUAAACAUCCAUAAUGAAUUUUCAUCAUAGCUCUUAGAAGAAAAAGGAGAUGAUUCAUUACAGAGUCCAACUUUUGAGUUGGGAGACUGAAAAUAACGAAUCAUCAUAAUUCAUAAUUUCAUAUGGC